This 495-nucleotide ribosomal RNA is filed under the name uncultured bacterium. RNAcentral describes it as "partial 16S ribosomal RNA". It matches the Rfam family "Bacterial small subunit ribosomal RNA", at positions 28 to 507 of the family's 1533-position model. The record is from RNAcentral.
GACGAACGCUGGCGGCGUGCCUAAUACAUGCAAGUAGAACGCUGAAGGAGGAGCUUGCUUCUCUGGAUGAGUUGCGAACGGGUGAGUAACGCGUAGGUAACCUGCCUGGUAGCGGGGGAUAACUAUUGGAAACGAUAGCUAAUACCGCAUAAGAGUAGAUGUUGCAUGACAUUUGCUUAAAAGGUGCAAUUGCAUCACUACCAGAUGGACCUGCGUUGUAUUAGCUAGUUGGUGGGGUAACGGCUCACCAAGGCGACGAUACAUAGCCGACCUGAGAGGGUGAUCGGCCACGCUGGGACUGGGACACGGCCCAGACUCCUACGGGAGGCAGCAGUAGGGAAUCUUCGGCAAUAGACGGAAGUCUGACCGAGCAACGCCGCGUGAGUGAAGAAGGUUUUCGGAUCGUAAAGCUCUGUUGUAAGAGAAGAACGAGUGGGAGAGUGGAAAGUUCACACUGUGACGGUAUCUUACCAGAAAGGGACGGCUAACUACGUG